This 857-nucleotide long non-coding RNA is filed under the name Heterocephalus glaber (naked mole-rat). RNAcentral's name for it is "lncRNA (ENSHGLG00100039636.1)". Lineage: Eukaryota; Metazoa; Chordata; Mammalia; Rodentia; Bathyergidae. The record is from RNAcentral.
GGGGCCGGGCGCGUUCGGACUGGACUGGGCCGAAUUGGGGCCGACUUCCGUGAACUCACAGGUGCUCUGGGGCUCCCCAAGCCACUGAGCUACUUAGCAUAGCAGCAGCCAGGUGAGCCUCGAAGCACCGCCCCCGACGUCGCUGAUUGGCUGAAGACGCACCUGCCAGCCGCAGCCAAUGAGAGACGGCGCACGGCCCUUGGCUUCCUUCGUGGGCCAGAGCUGACCUACCGCCCACCCAUAGCUCCGCCCCCUGCCCUCGCGCCCGACCCCGGGACCCACAGGUCUGUAAUAGGUAGAGGGAAGAGGACCAUACGGACCUGCAAGAUUCCUGUGCUACUAAGUUCGAAUCCUAGCCCCGCCGGUGGACCACUGAGAUCUGAGGAUCUUCUUACUAUGUAGUUCAGGCUGGCUGGAACUCACUAUGAAGCUCUAGGUGGCCUUGAACUUGAAGAAAUUGUUUUGCCUCAGCCUCCUAAGUGCUAGAUAACAGGCUUGGAUCCGCAGGUGGCCACGGUGAACUCAUCCUGGAAGCUGUUGAACAAAACAUUCCAGCCUUGUACUUGGUGGCUGUAUGAGUUGACUUCUCCUUGUUGGACAAAAUAUCUGACACCCACAACUUAAGAGAAGUUUGUUUGGCUCCCUGUUUCAAAGGGUUUCAGUCUGUGAUUGGCUGGUCCAAGGCAGAAAUGGCAAGGCGGAAGGACCCGAGGAAGCUCAAGCCAUAGAAACCAGGAAGCAGAAAGAAAGCAAGAGAACCAGAGGAAGAGAAAGACCUAGGGGAUAAGAAUGCAUCCUCCAGGUCACAUUCCCAGUGACCCACCUUCUCCAACCAGGGCCACCUCCUCACCGCACAU